UACGAAGGGGGCUAGCGUUGUUCGGAUUUACUGGGCGUAAAGCGCACGUAGGCGGAUUGUUAAGUCGGGGGUGAAAUCCUGGAGCUCAACUUCAGAAUUGCCUUCGAUACUGGCUUUCUAGAGGCUGGAAGAGGUUAGUGGAAUUCCCAGUGUAGAGGUGAAAUUCGUAGAUAUUGGGAAGAACACCGAUGGCGAAGGCAGCCAUCUGGACCGGUAUUGACGCUGAGGCGCGAAAGCGUGGGGAGCAAACAGG
RNAcentral lists this ribosomal RNA (253 nucleotides) under uncultured bacterium. RNAcentral's name for it is "partial 16S ribosomal RNA". It matches the Rfam family "Bacterial small subunit ribosomal RNA", at positions 524 to 776 of the family's 1533-position model. The record is from RNAcentral.